CUUGUUUCUUGGCCUUUUGGCUAAGUUCAUGUGUAGUAUCUGUUCUUAUCAGUUUAAUAUCUGACUUCAAACAUAGAUAUUCAAAAAGUCAUGGUGGAAGGAUUUUACCAUACUCAUCAUACCUGGAGUGUCCUGAUUUCCACAAAACUUCUCACAGCUUGUCCUGCAAUGUCAUCAUGUUACAUUCA
Molecule: small nuclear RNA, 188 nt
Organism: Laticauda laticaudata (blue-ringed sea krait)
Lineage: Eukaryota; Metazoa; Chordata; Lepidosauria; Squamata; Elapidae
Gene: U2
Rfam family: U2 spliceosomal RNA
About the family: U2 is a small nuclear RNA (snRNA) component of the spliceosome (involved in pre-mRNA splicing). Complementary binding between U2 snRNA (in an area lying towards the 5' end but 3' to hairpin I) and the branchpoint sequence (BPS) of the intron results the bulging out of an unpaired adenosine, on the BPS, which initiates a nucleophilic attack at the intronic 5' splice site, thus starting the first of two transesterification reactions that mediate splicing.
Source: Ensembl